GCUCCAGACUCCUACGGGAGGCAGCAGUGGGGAAUAUUGCACAAUGGGGGGAACCCUGAUGCAGCGACGCCGCGUGGGUGAAGGAGCACCUCGGUGCGUAAAGCCCUAUCGGCAGGGAAGAAAAGCGAACAGGUUCGCCUGGACGGUACCUGACUAAGAAGCCCCGGCUAACUACGUGCCAGCAGCCGCGGUAAUACGUAGGGGGCAAGCGUUAUCCGGAUUUACUGGGUGUAAAGGGGGCGCAGACGGCAGCGCAAGCCAGGAGUGAAAGCCCGGGGCCCAACCCCGGGACUGCUCUUGGAACUGCGCGGCUGGAGUGCAGGAGAGGUAAGCGGAAUUCCUAGUGUAGCGGUGAAAUGCGUAGAUAUUAGGAGGAACACCAGUGGCGAAGGCGGCUUACUGGACUGUAACUGACGUUGAGGCUCGAAAGCGUGGGGAGCAAACAGGAUUAGAUACCCCAGUAU
RNAcentral lists this ribosomal RNA (464 nucleotides) under uncultured bacterium. RNAcentral describes it as "bacterial SSU rRNA". It matches the Rfam family "Bacterial small subunit ribosomal RNA", at positions 328 to 793 of the family's 1533-position model. The record is from RNAcentral.